GCCUCCUUAGCUCAGUGGUAGAGCAACGCUCUUGUAAAGCGUAGGUCGUCAGUUCGAACCUGACAGGGGGCUCCA
Molecule: transfer RNA, 75 nt
Filed under: Mycolicibacterium goodii
Lineage: Bacteria; Bacillati; Actinomycetota; Actinomycetes; Mycobacteriales; Mycobacteriaceae
Description: tRNA-Thr
Rfam family: tRNA
About the family: Transfer RNA (tRNA) molecules are approximately 80 nucleotides in length.
Source: RNAcentral